GUGAAUUAGCAGGCUUUUUUUCUUUUGUUUUUGGCAGGAACAGCUGUGCUUAGAAGUGAACAAUAUUCAUUGCUGUAGGAUGUGAGCAGAGUUUCUUUCUUUUGGCUUUUGGGGAAAAAAAAUACAGGCAGGGACCCCACAGCUAUGUGUGGCCAACUCCACCUCACCUCCAUAGUCAGGACCUGUCUUCAGCAAAACUGCUUUGUAAGCACACUGUGACCUCCUGACUCACAAGCUCAUGAUACCAUUGAUGCUUUCCUGGGGAGAAGCUGAUGCUCCCCCAAUACCCUCUGCCAGCUGGCUCUAGCUGGCAGUGUUGAAGCCCUUGGUGCAACAUCCUGCAGCUAUGCGGGCUGGCUGUGCCAUGGGAACAGAGAAGAAUCAUGUUAAUUGGUGUUCUUUUUUCCAAAGUGUGCUGUAUGGAACAGCAUGGGAGUUUCAGUUUCUCUGGGCAAGAUCAUGGGGAGCACCCCAAGAGCUUAGGCAGUGGCCAGAAGUCUUGCUCACUUUUUGUCUAUGAACCUGAAUGCUGGAAGAAAAGAAGUGACAGCAGCGGUCAGGACCAGGGCUACUUUGUCCUCACCCGACACUCGCCUGUAGACCCUGAGGCCUCCUGUCUGUGCUCAGGACCCUGAGGGCUGGACUGCGCAUCUGGAGGGGCUCCUGGGCCAUGGGGGGCCUCCUGGAAGGGCACAAAGCCCUGAAAUUCAUGUGCUGGAGCUGCGCCUGGUCAUCUAGAGUCUUGGGGUCUUGCCCAGAAAAGGAAGCCUGUAUGCUGGACUUGGCAGAAGAGCGAGAUGGAGAAAAGUCCACGUGAGCUCACAGCAAGAAGGCAGCUGUCUGCAAGCCAGGAAGAGGCCCUCACUGCCAGAGCCCCACCAUGCCAGGACCUCAUCUAGAUGUCCAGCCCCCCCCCCCCCCCCCGCCGCCCCCCAACUGUUGUUUAAAGCCCCCGGGGGG
Molecule: long non-coding RNA, 960 nt
Filed under: Heterocephalus glaber (naked mole-rat)
Lineage: Eukaryota; Metazoa; Chordata; Mammalia; Rodentia; Bathyergidae
Description: lncRNA (ENSHGLG00100044865.1)
Source: RNAcentral